This 254-nucleotide ribosomal RNA is filed under the name uncultured bacterium. Its description in RNAcentral is "partial 16S ribosomal RNA". It matches the Rfam family "Bacterial small subunit ribosomal RNA", at positions 524 to 776 of the family's 1533-position model. The record is from RNAcentral.
UACAGAGGUCUCAAGCGUUGUUCGGAUUCAUUGGGCGUAAAGGGUGCGUAGGCGGCCACUGCAAGUCGGUUGUGAAAUCUCCGGGCUUAACCCGGAAAGGUCAAUCGAUACUGCAGGGCUAGAGUGCAGAAGGGGCAACUGGAAUUCUCGGUGUAGCGGUGAAAUGCGUAGAUAUCGAGAGGAACACCUGCGGCGAAGGCGGGUUGCUGGGCUGACACUGACGCUGAAGCGCGAAAGCUAGGGGAGCGAACGGG